AAGAUUGUGUUGAUGAUUAUUGCCUCAUAAUGUAUGUGACUUGCUGGCCUGGUAAUAUUAAAUCCGGUGAUUUCAAAUUGUAAGGCUGUCCAUAUUUGUUUUUAGGUGUGAUGGAGAGGAGGUUUUCAACGGUGUCAAGUACAUUGCACAUUAAGCAUUUCAUGGAAGGCCUGUCACAAGUAGAAGAAUACGUCAUACACACAAGUGGAUUUUCCUGAAAGCUGAAGUGGCAUGAACAGUUUCAAGUAAUGGGAAUGCGACAUAUGCUGAAGAAAGAUUUCCUCGAGACAGGAAAUAAAAGAAAAGGUAAUAUGUAUUGAAUAAACA
RNAcentral lists this long non-coding RNA (327 nucleotides) under Lonchura striata (white-rumped munia). RNAcentral describes it as "domestica (Bengalese finch) lncRNA (ENSLSDG00000013640.1)". The record is from RNAcentral. Lineage: Eukaryota; Metazoa; Chordata; Aves; Passeriformes; Estrildidae.